Non-coding RNA from Kogia breviceps (pygmy sperm whale), 2602 nucleotides. NCBI's taxonomy places the organism in Eukaryota, Metazoa, Chordata, Mammalia, Artiodactyla, Physeteridae. The record is from RefSeq and is a predicted model, not a curated record.
UGAAGACUGCGAGUGGGGUUCCGAUUCGGGGGGAUCCAGCUCUGGCUCCAGCUUUGUCUCACCGUGUAGCCUCGGGCCGAGCCCUUCCUUUGUCUGGAGCUCAGCCUGCCCAGUGAUAGGGUCAGAUGGAGUGAGCUCGACUGGUCCUUCCUGAUUUGACAAGAACAACCUGAAUUGCUGCUUUCAAAAUACCAAAGAGGAGACUGGCCCCCUCCCCGCCCCCAAGCCUGUUAAUCAGACCUCUCAUCUUCAGACCCAGCCAGAGUUAUCUGUAUAUUCUUUUGUUGGGCAAAGACUCGGUCCUCUUUCCCCACACCUGAAUCCGUGAAAUAAAGGAGCUCAAAAUCAAAUAAGCCUGUGAACGCUAACAGACCAUUUGAGUGACGGGUACUUGGCUAGGGCAGCUGGAGUCCUCACUGACUGACACACCAGAUCACCUGUUCAGUGCUGCCCAGAGGAGCACCAUCGGGGAUAACAACUUUGUUCCCUUGCUUUUAGCUUCUGAACUUGCAGGCCCGAACCAUUAGCCAUUCUCUCCUGCUCCCGACGUUGCUCUGUGUUGGCUUGCCGCCCAAAGUCAAUCUGACUCAGUCCCUCUACAAAGGGAAAAAAACCAAAAACAUGUCAUAGAAAGCCUGCUGUUUCUGGUAGCAUCUGGACAUGAGGCUGGCCAGGUGGUCAAACAGUUUAUACUUAAGUGUGAACUGUGUUAAGGAAGAGCCUGCCUGCAAAAAGCAGGGACCGUGCCAGGCUCAGUGGAUUCUACCCCUCACUUAAAAAAUGGUCUGCCUGCCGGGACUUCCCUGGUGGCGCAGUGGUUAAGAAUCCGCCUGCCAAUGCAGGGGACACGGGUUCGAGCCCUGGUCCGGGAAGAUCCCACAUGCCGCGGAGCAACUAAGCCCAUGAGCCACAACUACUGAGCCUUGUGCCACAACUACUGAAGCCCGUGUGCCCAGAGCCCAUGCUCCGCAACAAGAGAAGCCACCGCAAUGAGAAGCCCGCACACAGCAACGAAGACCCAACACAGCCAAAAAUAAAUAAGUUAAAAAAAAAAAGGUCUAUAAAAGGAGAGCCUACUCUAGUAAAAAACGUCACUAAACAGCUUAUAACAAAACCCAGCAGGCCCCUGCCACACACAGCUCUCUACCCUGUAGUCCUACUCCCUAGAGGCAACAAUUUUCAACUCUUUAAAAUUUUGAGAAGGAGCACAGAAAAGCACUGGAAUGGGACUAUUUGGCAUCCAACCCAGCUCUUCCACUUACCGGCUGGGUGACCUUGGUCAACUGAAUUAUAUUAUCUUUUACCUUGGUUUCCACAUCUGUAAGAUGGGAAUGAUAAUUGUACACAUCUCAUGAGAUAACACAUAAUUGCCUGGCACGUGGUCAACAGUGAUGUGAAGAAGGAUUUAACUUGAAAGCAGCUGUGAGCACAGCUGUGGAUGUUUAGCUGCACACUGUACAAAUAAAUUAAGCCAUGAAUGUGAGUUGGAGGAAAUGACAAGAACACAGAAGAGAUCUGUCUCUUUCCUUUGUUUUAAGGCCAAACUCUGUAUUUGCUCCUAGUCCCAUUCCCUUCCUGUCUCUUCUAGAACCUUGUCUCUAUAAUUAUCCUGACCCUCAAGGCAAGCAUACAUCUAUUAGUUUUUUUCUUUCUAUGAAAUAUAUACAGGCUUUUCGUAUCUUGGGGGGAAAAUCCUUUAUUUCAUCCUCCUGCCCUUUACAGCUACCAUUCUGUUUCAUUCUCUCUACUGCUUGAUUUCCUAAUUAACACACACACUGCCUCCCAUUCCUUCACAACUCCCUCACUUUUCGGCUGUCUCCCAGCUUCCAUCGCUACUCUUCUGACACAGCUGUCACCAGGGUCAUCAAAGACCACCUCAUUAACCACCAGUGGGUCUUUGCUCAAUCAGUCUUGAUCCAGAGCACUUGACUCAGUUCACCGUCCACUCCUUAACUCUCACAUACCAAACCACCUCGUCACCCAACCCUUCCUUACGGCUGUCAAUUGUAUCAUUUCCCCAGACCAUUCAGGAAUAAACCUUAAACUCAGGGUUGGCUCAACUCCUUUCUCUGCCCACCCCCAUAUUACUUUUGACUGUUACUGCAAAUGUGAGAAAUUCAUUGAAGAUAGCUUUUUAGAAAACUUUAUCAGGAUAUGGAGGAGUGGGGGACAGCUAAUGGACCCCAAAGGUAGAAUGCAUCUGGAACCCAGGAGAGCCCAGGACUGCAGACUCGAAGCCAAUGAUGUGAGUCCUUUUUCGCUAGCUUGCCUCCUGGAUUUCUCGUGAUCGGCACCCCAAAGGUGUCAGACACUCCCACACCCAGCUAGUCACCAGGUCCUGUAAAAAUCGCCAUCUUUUGUGUCAGCCACUUGAAUCUGUCUCCUCUCCAGCUUUCCUUGCACUGCCUUUCCCACGUUGUUUACCUCCUGAUCACUGUUUCUGCCAUUGCCUCUUCCUCCUGACGCUGAGUACGGCAUUGCCCACAUUUCAGUUCUUUGUCUGUCACUCUCUUCUUGACCUUCAUUCUGGGCGGCUGACUCCGAAACAGGAGUAGAGUGGUUAAGAGCUUGAAUUCUGGAGUCCUAAUGGCCUGGGUUUGAA